This 563-nucleotide ribosomal RNA is filed under the name uncultured Pseudozyma. RNAcentral describes it as "eukaryotic LSU rRNA". It matches the Rfam family "Eukaryotic large subunit ribosomal RNA", at positions 112 to 657 of the family's 3401-position model. Lineage: Eukaryota; Fungi; Basidiomycota; Ustilaginomycetes; Ustilaginales; Ustilaginaceae. The record is from RNAcentral.
GAUUGAAAGCUGGCGUCUUCGGCGUCCGCAUUGUAAUCUCAAGAAGUGUUUUCCGCUUCGGACCAUGCCUAAGUCCCUUGGAAAAGGGCAUCAUAGAGGGUGAUAAUCCCGUACAUGGCAUGGAGCGCCCGAAGCUUUGUGAUACGCUUUCUAAGAGUCGAGUUGUUUGGGAAUGCAGCUCAAAAUGGGUGGUAAAUGCCAUCUAAGGCUAAAUAUUGGGGAGAGACCGAUAGCGAACAAGUACAGUGAUGGAAAGAUGAAAAGAACUUUGAAAAGAGAGUUAAACAGUACGUGAAAUUGCCAAAAGGGAAGGGUAGGAGGUCAGAGAUGCGGCCUGGGAUUCAGCCUUGCUUUUGCUUGGUGUUUUUCCCAGAUUGCAGGCCAACGUCGGUUUUGGGCACUGGAGAAGGGUAGGAGGAACGUGGCACCUCUCGGGGUGUGUUAUAGCCUCCUACUGGAUACAGCGACCGAGACCGAGGACAGCAGCGUACUCGCAAGAGCGGGCCUUCGGGCACCUUUACGCUUAGGGCGUUGGCAUAAUGGCCCUCUACCACCCGUCUUGA